AUUAAACGCUGGCGGCAUGCCUUACACAUGCAAGUCGAACGGCAGCACGGGGGCAACCCUGGUGGCGAGUGGCGAACGGGUGAGUAAAGCAUCGGAACGUGCCCUGGAGUGGGGGAUAACGUAGCGAAAGUUACGCUAAUACCGCAUAUUCUGUGAGCAGGAAAGCAGGGGAUCGCAAGACCUUGCGCUCUGGGAGCGGCCGAUGUCGGAUUAGCUAGUUGGUGGGGUAAAGGCCUACCAAGGCGACGAUCCGUAGCGGGUCUGAGAGGAUGAUCCGCCACACUGGGACUGAGACACGGCCCAGACUCCUACGGGAGGCAGCAGUGGGGAAUUUUGGACAAUGGGCGAAAGCCUGAUCCAGCCAUGCCGCGUGAGUGAUGAAGGCCCUAGGGUUGUAAAGCUCUUUCAACGGUGAAGAUAAUGACGGUAACCGUAGAAGAAGCCCCGGCUAACUUCGUGCCAGCAGCCGCGGUAAU
This 476-nucleotide ribosomal RNA is filed under the name uncultured bacterium. Its description in RNAcentral is "bacterial SSU rRNA". It matches the Rfam family "Bacterial small subunit ribosomal RNA", at positions 29 to 524 of the family's 1533-position model. The record is from RNAcentral.